AAUGAACGCUGGCGGCAUGCCUAACACAUGCAAGUCGAACGAAGGCUUCGGCCUUAGUGGCGCACGGGUGCGUAACGCGUGGGAAUCUGCCCUUGGGUUCGGAAUAACAGUUAGAAAUGACUGCUAAUACCGGAUACGUGCGAGAGCAGAAAGAUUUAUCGCUGAAGGAUCGGCCCGCGUCUGAUUAGCUAGUUGGUGAGGUAAUGGCUCACCAAGGCGACGAUCAGUAGCUGGUCUGAGAGGAUGAUCAGCCACAUUGGGACUGAGACACGGCCCAAACUCCUACGGGAGGCAGCAGUGGGGAAUAUUGGACAAUGGGCGAAAGCCUGAUCCAGCCAUGCCGCGUGAGUGAUGAAGGCCCUAGGGUUGUAAAGCUCUUUCACCGGUGAAGAUAAUGACGGUAACCGGAGAAGAAGCCCCGGCUAACUUCGUGCCAGCAGCCGCCGUAA
This 449-nucleotide ribosomal RNA is filed under the name uncultured bacterium. Its description in RNAcentral is "partial 16S ribosomal RNA". It matches the Rfam family "Bacterial small subunit ribosomal RNA", at positions 29 to 523 of the family's 1533-position model. The record is from RNAcentral.